Molecule: ribosomal RNA, 401 nt
Filed under: uncultured bacterium
Lineage: Bacteria
Description: bacterial SSU rRNA
Rfam family: Bacterial small subunit ribosomal RNA
Source: RNAcentral
CGGGAAUUUUGGGCAAUGGGCGAAAGCCUGACCCAGCAACGCCGCGUGAGGGAUGAAGUAUUUCGGUAUGUAAACCUCGAAAGAAUGGGAAGAAUAAAUGACGGUACCAUUUAUAAGCUCCGGCUAACUACGUGCCAGCAGCCGCGGUAAUACGUAGGGAGCAAGCGUUGUUCGGAUUUACUGGGCGUAAAGGGCGCGUAGGCGGCGCGGUAAAUCACUUGUGAAAUCUCUGAGCUUAACUCUGAACGGCCAAGUGAUACUGCUGUGCUAGAGUGCGGAAGAGGCAACCGGAAUUCUUGGUGUAGCGGUGAAAUGCGUGGAUAUCAAGAGGAACACCUGAGGCGAAGGCGGGUUGCUGGGCCGACACUGACGCUGAUGCGCGAAAGCCAGGGGAGCAAACG